Diorhabda carinulata is the source of this 1187-nucleotide long non-coding RNA. RefSeq lists it as uncharacterized. The transcript has 3 exons. The record is from RefSeq and is a predicted model, not a curated record. Lineage: Eukaryota; Metazoa; Arthropoda; Insecta; Coleoptera; Chrysomelidae.
GGUAUAAAAAAGGCUUCUGUGAAACCAGCUUUGGUAUAUUAGCUUUACGGUCGGAGUUAUUCAUAAUUCACAGUUCUCCAAUUAAGAUUAGAUGAUGUAUAAUUAUUUUUAUAUAAAUACGCUUUGCACUGCAAUUGUAUGGCCAUAUUGCUAAUUCAAGUCAAUCAAUUUGAAUAUAAUAUCUUUCCAAUUAACGGGUAUAUAAGUAAAUUAGAUGUUUAGUAUCAGUGAAUAGUUAAUUGUGUGUGUAAGUGUUAGUAAAUAGUUAGGGUAUGAAUAAAUUACGUAGUAAUACAAUCAUCUAAAUAUCGGAAAAAGAAUGGAAUGUUUAUAUUAAGUUUGCUUAGAACCGUUUCCUCAAGAUUUUCCAUUACCAAUUGUGCUAUAACAUUUGAAAUGAAGGCUCCCACAGCACAACAAUCAAUUUGUUUGUGUAUUUCAUUUUAAUAUUUGAAGUCUAAGAAAUUAAAGAAAUUUAUAUACGAGUUUAUUCGAUAUUAAUGGAAACGUAAAUCGGCGACAAAAUAAUUGGUGUCCUUUUAUAGAUGAUAACUUAAAUGGUGCGGCGUGCUUAGAUUUAUUGGAAAAGUAGUAUAUAGUAUUAUACCUGAGAUGACUCGAAUAUUUCCCAAUCCAAUUGUAGGUUUUCUGCGCCAUGAUUUGGAUAAAUAUUUUACUGUACCAGUUUCGUUAAACUUUACUAACUUACUGACACUAGAUCUUAUUACGAAAUUUUUAUUAGCACAUAUAUUAUUAAAGAAUAUUCCAAUUAAACAAGUUUAUUCAAUCGUAGCCAUCUAAAUGUACAAUAAUUAUUGUAUAACUCCGAAAUUAUUGCAUUUAGGUAUGGAGAAUAUUACAUGGGAAAUAAUCAAUUUUUCUUAGCGAUUUCUAAAACCAUAUAUAUUGUUAUGGUAUUAUAGUGUGUAAUGUUUAUUUUUAUAAAUUUUAUUUUAAAUAAAAUCCGAUUUUAAUUUGGGAGCCAUUAGUAAUUAUUUGAAUUUCUUUAUUUUAUUAUGUUAUUAUUAUUUUUUUUAUUCUCAGGGUAUUAUAUUGUGAGGUCAAAUUAAAAAAUUUUAUUGCGAUAAAUUGUUAUGGUUAUAAGGUCAGAUUAUAAUAGUUUUAAGACCGGGUCUGUUCUUUAUAAUGAAUAAAAUAUUCAAAAUAUACAAUUUCUUAACUAGCUA